GCAAACUUGGUCAUUUAGAGGAAGUAAAAGUCGUAACAAGGUCUCCGUAGGUGAACCUGCGGAGGGAUCAUUACUGAGUGAGGGCCCCGGGCCCGACCUCCAACCCUUUGUGAUUAAGACUUGUUGCCUCGGGGUGACCCGGCCCCGUCGGGGUCGCCGGCGCCCCCGGUGGACCAUCUCUAAACACUGCAUCUUUGCGUCGGUUGCAUUGCAAAAUUGAUUAAAACUUUCAACAACGGAUCUCUUGGUUCUGGCAUCGAUGAAGAACGCAGC
This 273-nucleotide unclassified non-coding RNA is filed under the name uncultured fungus. RNAcentral's name for it is "partial contains small subunit ribosomal RNA, internal transcribed spacer 1, and 5.8S ribosomal RNA". The stretch from base 1 to 73 matches the Rfam family "Eukaryotic small subunit ribosomal RNA", at positions 1759 to 1831 of the family's 1831-position model. Lineage: Eukaryota; Fungi. The record is from RNAcentral.